UGCAGCCCAGCGUCGGUCGCGAAAGGGCGUCUGUGAGGCGGAGCAUAGCAAUUCGUUGUUGGAACUUUUACCGGGUGUGUUAAACUCGUCCGAUUGACUGAGAGAAUAUGGGAUCUAAACGACGCCGCCGCCGCUGUGUGAAUUGAAGACGACUUUUAAAAAGACUGUGUGUGAACUCUUUCUUAAGAACUCGGGUUGCGAAGUGAACAUUUCCAUGAGGCACAAAACGUAACAGCGAGUGGAAAAAAAACGGACAAAAAAGGUAUUAGCUGGACAGAAAAUGUAUUCCAAUGCUGGCGAGUGAUAAGUGCCGAGUACAAAAAAAAAAAAAAAAAAAUAACACAGAAAAGUGACCAUCAGAGAGUGACGUGAUAUUGUGUACGAUUUUCUCUGCUGUGGAAAAAGUGUUGAUCAAUUGUAAAAAUGUGAGAGACCAGCCCCAUGGAAUCAAUUAAAACUGAUCCCUUAACAGAAAAAUAAGAAUUCCAUUCUAUUGUGUUGGUGACGCUACAAACUCGAACGUGUUGCAGUUUUCUCAAGGUCGGAGAAACUGAAGGCUUUCUCUUAAAGAGUCUCGCCUCCGGUUCCCUGGUGUCAAUCUGCCAUUCUAGACAACGCCGAAACACCUUCAUCAAAGUGAGUAUCUCUCUCUCUCUCUCUC
Molecule: long non-coding RNA, 661 nt
Organism: Macrobrachium nipponense
Lineage: Eukaryota; Metazoa; Arthropoda; Malacostraca; Decapoda; Palaemonidae
Exons: 3
Source: RefSeq, a predicted model, not a curated record